This 2160-nucleotide ribosomal RNA is filed under the name Shigella sonnei. RNAcentral describes it as "partial 23S ribosomal RNA". It matches the Rfam family "Bacterial large subunit ribosomal RNA", at positions 34 to 2219 of the family's 2925-position model. Lineage: Bacteria; Pseudomonadati; Pseudomonadota; Gammaproteobacteria; Enterobacterales; Enterobacteriaceae. The record is from RNAcentral.
UGGCAGUCAGAGGCGAUGAAGGACGUGCUAAUCUGCGAUAAGCGUCGGUAAGGUGAUAUGAACCGUUAUAACCGGCGAUUUCCGAAUGGGGAAACCCAGUGUGAUUCGUCACACUAUCAUUAACUGAAUCCAUAGGUUAAUGAGGCGAACCGGGGGAACUGAAACAUCUAAGUACCCCGAGGAAAAGAAAUCAACCGAGAUUCCCCCAGUAGCGGCGAGCGAACGGGGAGCAGCCCAGAGCCUGAAUCAGUGUGUGUGUUAGUGGAAGCGUCUGGAAAGGCGUGCGAUACAGGGUGACAGCCCCGUACACAAAAAUGCACAUACUGUGAGCUCGAUGAGUAGGGCGGGACACGUGGUAUCCUGUCUGAAUAUGGGGGGACCAUCCUCCAAGGCUAAAUACUCCUGACUGACCGAUAGUGAACCAGUACCGUGAGGGAAAGGCGAAAAGAACCCCGGCGAGGGGAGUGAAAAAGAACCUGAAACCGUGUACGUACAAGCAGUGGGAGCACGCUUAGGCGUGUGACUGCGUACCUUUUGUAUAAUGGGUCAGCGACUUAUAUUCUGUAGCAAGGUUAACCGAAUAGGGGAGCCGAAGGGAAACCGAGUCUUAACUGGGCGUUAAGUUGCAGGGUAUAGACCCGAAACCCGGUGAUCUAGCCAUGGGCAGGUUGAAGGUUGGGUAACACUAACUGGAGGACCGAACCGACUAAUGUUGAAAAAUUAGCGGAUGACUUGUGGCUGGGGGUGAAAGGCCAAUCAAACCGGGAGAUAGCUGGUUCUCCCCGAAAGCUAUUUAGGUAGCGCCUCGUGAAUUCAUCUCCGGGGGUAGAGCACUGUUUCGGCAAGGGGGUCAUCCCGACUUACCAACCCGAUGCAAACUGCGAAUACCGGAGAAUGUUAUCACGGGAGACACACGGCGGGUGCUAACGUCCGUCGUGAAGAGGGAAACAACCCAGACCGCCAGCUAAGGUCCCAAAGUCAUGGUUAAGUGGGAAACGAUGUGGGAAGGCCCAGACAGCCAGGAUGUUGGCUUAGAAGCAGCCAUCAUUUAAAGAAAGCGUAAUAGCUCACUGGUCGAGUCGGCCUGCGCGGAAGAUGUAACGGGGCUAAACCAUGCACCGAAGCUGCGGCAGCGACGCUUAUGCGUUGUUGGGUAGGGGAGCGUUCUGUAAGCCUGUGAAGGUGUGCUGUGAGGUAUGCUGGAGGUAUCAGAAGUGCGAAUGCUGACAUAAGUAACGAUAAAGCGGGUGAAAAGCCCGCUCGCCGGAAGACCAAGGGUUCCUGUCCAACGUUAAUCGGGGCAGGGUGAGUCGACCCCUAAGGCGAGGCCGAAAGGCGUAGUCGAUGGGAAACAGGUUAAUAUUCCUGUACUUGGUGUUACUGCGAAGGGGGGACGGAGAAGGCUAUGUUGGCCGGGCGACGGUUGUCCCGGUUUAAGCGUGUAGGCUGGUUUUCCAGGCAAAUCCGGAAAAUCAAGGCCGAGGCGUGAUGACGAGGCACUACGGUGCUGAAGCAACAAAUGCCCUGCUUCCAGGAAAAGCCUCUAAGCAUCAGGUAACAUCAAAUCGUACCCCAAACCGACACAGGUGGUCAGGUAGAGAAUACCAAGGCGCUUGAGAGAACUCGGGUGAAGGAACUAGGCAAAAUGGUGCCGUAACUUCGGGAGAAGGCACGCUGAUACGUAGGUGAAGCGACUUGCUCGUGGAGCUGAAAUCAGUCGAAGAUACCAGCUGGCUGCAACUGUUUAUUAAAAACACAGCACUGUGCAAACACGAAAGUGGACGUAUACGGUGUGACGCCUGCCCGGUGCCGGAAGGUUAAUUGAUGGGGUUAGCGCAAGCGAAGCUCUUGAUCGAAGCCCCGGUAAACGGCGGCCGUAACUAUAACGGUCCUAAGGUAGCGAAAUUCCUUGUCGGGUAAGUUCCGACCUGCACGAAUGGCGUAAUGAUGGCCAGGCUGUCUCCACCCGAGACUCAGUGAAAUUGAACUCGCUGUGAAGAUGCAGUGUACCCGCGGCAAGACGGAAAGACCCCGUGAACCUUUACUAUAGCUUGACACUGAACAUUGAGCCUUGAUGUGUAGGAUAGGUGGGAGGCUUUGAAGUGUGGACGCCAGUCUGCAUGGAGCCGACCUUGAAAUACCACCCUUUAAUGUUUGAUG